Molecule: non-coding RNA, 761 nt
Organism: Styela clava
Lineage: Eukaryota; Metazoa; Chordata; Ascidiacea; Stolidobranchia; Styelidae
Source: RefSeq, a predicted model, not a curated record
GCCAACUGGGCCGUUUUCAGCCACCAAGCUUUGGGAUAUGAUUUUUGCAACGUUUCAUUUCUCCAUAUCGCCAAAAACGAACAUCAAAAUGUUCAAGAUAUACAACAACUCGUUUACUGGGGCAAAGGCUGUUUCUGAAAUGCAAACUAUUCUAUCUUCGCUCGGCUGGUUUGGUUCGCCCACUUCUCAUCAGGCAAAACUUCUACUUGACAAAUUUUUAUCGUCACAUAUGAUUGAAGAUGUCCACGGUAAAUGGAAAAACAAAAAAAUGAGCAAUUCAAGAAGAAAAUUAUACCGAUUUCCGCCAUUACCCCAACAACCAUUUGAAUGAGUCUUAUGCGGGAAACGACGCCAAUGUUUACCAAUUCCAUGCGAGGAGAGGAGAACGGUUCUUCUCGUGUUAUCAUCUGCAACACAAUCGGAUACUUUGUAAAUCACCGAGCAGGAUAGCAGAGCAAUUUCAGCAGUAAUCGGCAGAUGGCAGCUGGAAUGUAAAUAAUACCACCAUAUGAUUGGGCCACCUUUUGUGCGGUGCCAAAAGGGAAUGGUUAUGAAUAGCCCGAUUCUUUUCCUUAAAUACGACAUUGGAUAUACACAUCGUCGACGACACGACAUACUAUAUUAUAUAAUACUAAUAAAUUACUUGGGUGUCACUACCCGAUAACCAGUUUUGAUUUCCCGCGGCUUCCCUUCCCCAGUAAUGUAAAUAUCAUUUUUUUCUUAUUUUUUGCAUUAUUUUUGUCUUUUACUGGAUGGAAAAA